GUGCUCGUUUUGGCAGCACCUAUACUAAUAAAACUGGAGUGCUACGGAGAUUGGCAUGGCCUCUGCACAAGGAUGAAAUGCAAAUUCCUGAUAAAUCAGUAUAUAUG
This is a small nuclear RNA of Oryctolagus cuniculus (rabbit), 107 nucleotides long. The record is from Ensembl. Lineage: Eukaryota; Metazoa; Chordata; Mammalia; Lagomorpha; Leporidae.